CUGCCGUCAGCUCAGGCAGAUUUCUAAGCAGCAAAUCAGCCUUUGCCAGAACACUGCAGGACACCAGUGCAGCGCCCAGCCUGCGACCAUGAGGCUCUAGGGGAUGGUAGAGUCACAGGAUGGAAGAACUCUGUGUCCUUGAAUCAUUGCAUGGAAGAGAACUGGAAGUUGCCCAGGAACACCAGCCUUGGACAGUUAUGUGAACAAGAAAUAAACUUCUUUUACAGUGUCA
This 232-nucleotide non-coding RNA is filed under the name Pan troglodytes (chimpanzee). The record is from RNAcentral. Lineage: Eukaryota; Metazoa; Chordata; Mammalia; Primates; Hominidae.